UACAGAGGUCUCAAGCGUUGUUCGGAUUCAUUGGGCGUAAAGGGUGUGUAGGUGGCGCGCUAAGUCGGGUGUGAAAUUUCGGAGCUUAACUCCGAAACUGCAUUCGAUACUGGCGUGCUUGAGGACUGGAGAGGAGACUGGAAUUCAUGGUGUAGCAGUGAAAUGCGUAGAGAUCAUGAGGAAGACCAGUGGCGAAAGCGAGCUGCUGGACCUUUUCUGACGCUGAGGCGCGAAAGCCAGGGGAGCAAACGGG
RNAcentral lists this ribosomal RNA (253 nucleotides) under uncultured bacterium. RNAcentral describes it as "partial 16S ribosomal RNA". It matches the Rfam family "Bacterial small subunit ribosomal RNA", at positions 524 to 776 of the family's 1533-position model. The record is from RNAcentral.